AGUGUAAUGGUGUUAUUUUGCUUACUUCUCUUGAUGAAUAAUUAGCACGUUUAAUGGAACUUGAAAAUAUUAGUUAUAUAUAAAUGUGCUCUUGUUUUCAGUGUACUUUUAUAAAUCUUUUGUAAUGUCUUUGUUAUCAGAGCCCUUCAAAUUAAACAUAGUGAUGGUGAUCUUGUCAAUGCUGAGAUUUUAAUGCCUCAACAGCCAUUACAUCUGUCUGGAUCAGGAUUGAACAAGAAACAGACAGCAAGGGUUGUCAGGUCAGAAACGUGAUGACACACAAACAUAAGAAACUUCACAGGCGGCAAUUUCUUUUUCCACCGGUGGGUGCUCAUCACAACCUCCAGCUUUACUGGACGCCAGGUGCUCUGGAGCGCUCAAAAGCUUUGAAGAGGUGGAAAGCAGUGCAGUCAUGUUUUCGUGUGAUUUUAGAUGCGAAUUGUAAAGUUAAAGGCAGAUCACUGUGCAACUUGGUGAAGUCACGUGUCUUACCAGAUGCCAAAAUCUG
Molecule: non-coding RNA, 508 nt
Organism: Misgurnus anguillicaudatus (oriental weatherfish)
Lineage: Eukaryota; Metazoa; Chordata; Actinopteri; Cypriniformes; Cobitidae
Source: RefSeq, a predicted model, not a curated record